Non-coding RNA from Amborella trichopoda, 461 nucleotides. The record is from RefSeq and is a predicted model, not a curated record. NCBI's taxonomy places the organism in Eukaryota, Viridiplantae, Streptophyta, Magnoliopsida, Amborellales, Amborellaceae.
AAAAGUCAGUUGCAGUGACUAUAACAGAGGGGCUUCCUUGUAAACACCACAAUAUGUGAUCCACACAUCUUAGUUCGAAGCAGCCACCACAGCAGUAAGAAGAAAGAGGUCGAAUACCAGUAGUAACUGAGGCAUAAGGGUCUUUAGAAUAUGUAGCCGUCGCUGACUUCCACUCUUCAAUACUACCCUGUGUUGCCUUGCUUAAGCUGGACACCACCAUAAGACAGAGGAACACAGCAUGUAAAACACCCAUUUGGUUGAGCCAGGUUGAUGGGGAACGAAGUUGCGACAUGGAAGAAGCUUUGGCAAUGGUGGCUUCAUUUCAGGCUCUUCUUUUUAGACAAAUGUUGGUAAGGGAAUAUUGGGGACAUCGGUGAGUGGAUAAAAUAAAGUGGUCCGAGACUCAGGUCACUGCAAAACUUUUUUUUUUUUCUUUUUUGCUUUUUUUUUACAUUAAAGUC